Molecule: ribosomal RNA, 253 nt
Filed under: uncultured bacterium
Lineage: Bacteria
Description: partial 16S ribosomal RNA
Rfam family: Bacterial small subunit ribosomal RNA
Source: RNAcentral
UACGAAGGGGGCUAGCGUUGUUCGGAAUCACUGGGCGUAAAGCGCACGUAGGCGGAUCUUUAAGUCAGGGGUGAAAUCCCGAGGCUCAACCUCGGAACUGCCUUUGAUACUGGGGAUCUCGAGUCCGGGAGAGGUGUGUGGAACUCCGAGUGUAGAGGUGAAAUUCGUAGAUAUUCGGAAGAACACCAGUGGCGAAGGCGACACACUGGCCCGUUACUGACGCUGAGGCGCGAAAGCGUGGGGAGCAAACAGG